RNAcentral lists this ribosomal RNA (692 nucleotides) under uncultured bacterium. RNAcentral's name for it is "bacterial SSU rRNA". It matches the Rfam family "Bacterial small subunit ribosomal RNA", at positions 32 to 715 of the family's 1533-position model. The record is from RNAcentral.
AACGCUAGCUACAGGCUUAACACAUGCAAGUCGAGGGGCAGCACGGGAGUAGCAAUACAACUGGUGGCGACCGGCGCACGGAUGAGUAACGCGUAUGCAACCUACCUAUCAGAGGGGAAUAACCCGGCGAAAGUCGGACUAAUACCGCAUAAAACAGGGGCACCGCAUGGUGAUAUUUGUUAAAGAGAUUCGCUGAUAGAUGGGCAUGCGUUCCAUUAGGUAGUUGGUGAGGUAACGGCUCACCAAGCCGACGAUGGAUAGGGGAACUGAGAGGUUGGUCCCCCACACUGGUACUGAGACACGGACCAGACUCCUACGGGAGGCAGCAGUGAGGAAUAUUGGUCAAUGGGCGGAAGCCUGAACCAGCCAAGUAGCGUGCAGGAUGACGGCCCUAUGGGUUGUAAACUGCUUUUAUACAGGAAUAAAGUUAGCCACGUGUGGUUAUUUGUAGGUACUGUAUGAAUAAGGACCGGCUAAUUCCGUGCCAGCAGCCGCGGUAAUACGGAAGGUCCAGGCGUUAUCCGGAUUUAUUGGGUUUAAAGGGAGCGUAGGCCGUCUGUUAAGCGUGUUGUGAAAUGUAGAUGCUCAACAUCUGAAUUGCAGCGCGAACUGGCAGACUUGAGUGUGCGCAACGUAGGCGGAAUUCGUGGUGUAGCGGUGAAAUGCUUAGAUAUCACGAAGAACUCCGAUUG